This is a long non-coding RNA of Protobothrops mucrosquamatus (brown spotted pit viper), 1856 nucleotides long. RefSeq lists it as uncharacterized. The record is from RefSeq and is a predicted model, not a curated record. Lineage: Eukaryota; Metazoa; Chordata; Lepidosauria; Squamata; Viperidae. The transcript has 4 exons.
AUAGUUUUGCUAGUGCACUGAGUAGAAAUGGAUUCAUGGUAAACAGCAUGUAUGUGGAAAUCCUGACCUCAAAAGCAGUGUUUGACCUCUAAAAAUGAAAAAUAACGACAAGCAACCUGUCUGGGAACUAAAAUUCAAGCAUGAAGAAAUCAAGUCCUUUAUCUAUGGAGAAAGAAACAAUACUUGCUUCAGAAGGGGAGGGAAUGGAUGAAGGUGUAUGCUGAUUUUUUUUUUUACAAUCUAAUGAACAUUUUUGAAUUAUUUUCAAUUAUCUAAACAAGAUGAGAUUAUCCUUCUUUGGGUUUUUCUAGCAUCUACCUUGGAUAUUUCUGUUUUCUGUCCUGUACGUUCAAGAAACUUAGUUCUAUGCACAACACCUUAAUGGUUAGGAAAAAAACAACAGAUACCUUAGCUGAAUCAGCGAUAGAGUGAACAUUCAAGAUGAGAUGGCUGCUGCUGAUGUCUCUCUCUAGGUCAUCCAACUGCAAAUGCUGCAUGAUAAGCUUACAGACAAGUUUGAUUCCUGAGGAUUUUAUAGAUGCAUUCAUUUGGUUUUCUUGGCAAGAAUACUGAAGUGGUUCACCAUUAAUUUCUUCCAGUUUGGACUUCCCACUGUAGCCUAUAGUACAACUAUUUCCCAGCCAUCAUCCAUCCAAAUAAUAUGUUGGUUUGAUCUUGCUUAGCUGAAUUCUUAGAUACUAUGCUUCCAAAAGAAAAGGUAUGCAUUAGAAAUUGAGCAUGUACUGUAGGAAUUUUACUGUGAAGUCUCUUUCUCUUGUGUAUUUUGACCUGACUAGACCAGAAGCUAAUGUAAUUUCAGCACUGGUGAUGGAUCAUCAUCCUUUACCUGAACUUUAAGAAUUUUGGAACUAAUUAGACAGCUGAUAUGGCAUGAACAGUUUUGCUAUCAACAGAGGAAAUAACCUGGAACACAGAAGGAAGACCUAAAGGGACUGCUGUUGGUGGUCCACAUUCACUCCAGUAUUCACUGCCUAAGAAAUUCAUUUCCAUGCCCAGGGUGAAGCUAUAACAAGAACCGGCAAUUCUCAGGUUGGAUAAAACCAUUAUGUAAGCAACGAAUGAUGUUUCACAAUCUCAAGUACAGGAAGAUAUUCAAAUAUCUCCAGGUGCAAAAAAGCAGAAGAAAAGCCUAGAAUUUAAAUGGAGGAAGAGGGGAAGGAGGAGGAGGAGGAGGAGGAGAUGAUCUAUGUUCUGUAGUUUAUAGAUUUUCUCCACACAUGUGGCUUUUAUCUUUCUGCAAGAAAGCAGUUCAUCCUGCAAUGUUGUAUUUAUGAGUCUAUGGGGUUGUUUGUAGAAUCAAUAUUUAUUGCUGUGCUUGCCAUAAAGUCUAGUACCAUCUUACUCUGUUGAAACAGCUAGCCUACUUUAGUAACGUAAGAAAGUAAAAUAUGAGAUAGUGAUCACUACUAACUGAAAGUUUUUAAAAGGGACAAAUUUAUCGUUCCCUAUUAGCUAUAAUAGCUUAAGGAAUCUUCAGAUUUAAAUGCAAUUGGUCUAAAAAUAACAGAUACAGAAUGAAAUUAGUUAUGAGAAUUAUAUUUAUGUUUUAACUGUGGAUUUGGGGGAUUUUGGGUUAGACUUUGGAUUUUAUCCAUUAUGGCACACAGAUGGGAUCUCAUAGAAAAUGUUUCUAUCUUCUAUAGAAGCUCAAGAUAUAGUUAAAGCUGAUUCUUCACUUUCUGCAUAUGAACAAAAUAAAGAAUUAAAUUAGUAGCAACUACAAAUAGGGUGACAAAAAUGUAUGCAACAUCUUUUCUUUUUCCAUUAAAUUAACACUCACUGUUCUAAAACAUAAAUUAAGCUACAGUCCGAAUAAAAAUACCAUUAAAUCACAA